GAUGAAGAACGUAGCGAAAUGCGAUAAGUAAUGUGAAUUGCAGAAUUCAGUGAAUCAUCGAAUCUUUGAACGCACAUUGCGCCCGCUAGUAUUCUGGCGGGCAUGCCUGUCCGAGCGUCAUUUCAACCCUCAAGCCCCCGGGCUUGGUGUUGGGGAUCGGCGAGCCUCCGCGCCCGCCGUCCCCUAAAUCUAGUGGCGGUCUCGCUGUAGCUUCCUCUGCGUAGUAGCACACCUCGCACUGGGAAACAGCGCGGCCACGCCGUUAAAUCCCCAACUUCUGAACGUUUGACCUCGGAUCAGGUAGGAAUACCCGCUGAACUUAAGCAUAUCAAUAAGCGGAGGA
This 343-nucleotide unclassified non-coding RNA is filed under the name soil metagenome. Its description in RNAcentral is "partial contains 5.8S ribosomal RNA, internal transcribed spacer 2, and large subunit ribosomal RNA". The stretch from base 1 to 120 matches the Rfam family "5.8S ribosomal RNA", at positions 35 to 154 of the family's 154-position model. The record is from RNAcentral.